CAUUUGUAACAACUAUAUAUAACUCCUUCAAUUAAUAUUGAUCAGGCCACAAGAAUGCUCCAAUUGCAAAACCUCUCUUCUCAUCAAGAUUACCUUUGAAACUUAAUCCAUAUUGAUUAAGAAGCACAUCCACCUUCCAUUCCUCCAUCCUCUCAUAAUCAAAUUUGGUGUAACGUGGAUAGUGAAGAGGCAUUUGAAAAUUACCAUAACAAGAAGGGAUACCCUAAAACAUGGCAAGGUGAAUAGAGAAGCCAUCUAAGUGACAUGCCUCUUAAUUUCUUUGUUCCUAUGAGAAACAAAUUAAAAUUGGAAGAGGUAAUUAAGAACUUUGCUUAAAGCAAAUAACUAUACACCACUAUAUAUAGGAGUGGAUGCGUAUGCCCUAUAUUUCGUGGAUGAAUAACAAAAAAUUGCAUAUUUCACGCGUUAAUUAAACUUUAUAUUAAUUAAGCUAUAGUUGUGAAUAACUUCAAAAUACGAUAUGUACUACAAAAUUUUGUACUAUGUGUAUAUUUGUAUUUUAUUUGUUUGGGGUGCUGUGAAAUUUAAUUCGGUUGUUAUUUUAUUUUUUAUUUUUUAUGCUGUGUAUAUACGGUUGCUUGGAGUGCAUGGAUAGGUUAAGUCUUUCUUUGAAGUGGUUUUUGGUCACAUUUUCAAUGAUAUGUCAUAAUUAUAAA
Cicer arietinum (chickpea) is the source of this 677-nucleotide non-coding RNA. NCBI's taxonomy places the organism in Eukaryota, Viridiplantae, Streptophyta, Magnoliopsida, Fabales, Fabaceae. The record is from RefSeq and is a predicted model, not a curated record.